AUUGAACGCUGGCGGCAGGCCUAACACAUGCAAGUCGAACGAGUGGCGGACGGGUGAGUCAUGUCUGGGAAACUGCCUGAUGGAGGGGGCUAACUACUGGAAACGGUAGCUAAUACCGCAUACCAUCUGCUUUGCCCUGAUGGGUUUAGCUAGUUGGUGGGGUAAAGGCUCACCAAGGCGACGAUCCCUAGCUGUUGUGAGAGGAUGACCAGCCACACUGGAACGGAGACACGGUCCAGACUCCUACGGGAGGCAGCAGUGGGGAAUUUUGCACAAUGGGCGCAAGCCUGAUGCAGCCAGGCCGCGUGUAUGAAGAAGGCCUGAGGGUUGUAAUGUACUUUCAGCGGGGAGGCGUUACCCGCAGAAGAAGCACCGGCUAACUCCGUGCCAGCAGCCGCGGUAAUAC
This 406-nucleotide ribosomal RNA is filed under the name uncultured bacterium. RNAcentral's name for it is "partial 16S ribosomal RNA". It matches the Rfam family "Bacterial small subunit ribosomal RNA", at positions 30 to 526 of the family's 1533-position model. The record is from RNAcentral.